Macadamia integrifolia is the source of this 427-nucleotide long non-coding RNA. RefSeq lists it as uncharacterized. The transcript is spliced from 3 exons. Lineage: Eukaryota; Viridiplantae; Streptophyta; Magnoliopsida; Proteales; Proteaceae. The record is from RefSeq and is a predicted model, not a curated record.
UAACGUCCAAUGCUAUUUGGUCCCGUCAACUUAAGAAAGAAAAGGGUGUCCUCUAAUCUAUGGUAUCGCUCUCUUAUCUCAGACUCGACCACGGACAAAUGGUGACGGAGACUAGACCUCGAAAGAUAAGACAUGUAAAAAAGGGACAGCAAUACUUAAUUACCCUAAACCUAGACAAAAUCAUCCUCUGAUACCAAGAUGAUGUAGGGGGUUCCUAGGUGACUAGGUCUCCUACAAGAUUAACUAACUAGGUAGGGUUAACUCAAGGGACUUAGGUAGAUAGGACAAAAAGAAACUCAGCAAACAAGAUUAAGCAUGCAAAAUAAAAUGAGACUAAUAAACAAAGUAGCAAAAAGCAAUAAUAAUCUAGACGGAAAAACACAGAAAUUCUUACUUAAGUUUCAAGUUGGGACAUGGGGAAGAGGAA